CUGAAGUCCAAUGGACAGCUAUAUGACAGAGUCACUGAGCAUUUCACCACGAUGAAGGAUAGAAGAAUGUCCUUCCUCAACAGGUAUAGCACCAUGGACAGCGACAUGGACCUCCAGGGCCUUUGUUUUGAUAAUGUGGAUUGUUGUCUUUAAAACAUUUUCUUGUUAUACUAUCUAUCUCAUGUUCUUCUCAUUGUUAUUUUGCAAAGGGUUGUAUACAUUGUUUUAUAUAUAUUUUGGGGAACAUGAUCACUUCAAGUUUCUGUCUUAAUUACUUGUCUUUGAUACCACACAAAAAUGGCAUUCACUCUUAUAUGCAAUCCAUAGUCUGUGUACUAGUGCCACCUACUGGGCGAUUAUAAAGGUAGCCUAUAUUAGCAGUCUAAGCAUUACAGCAACAUACUGCAGUAGCACUGUGUUAAUAUCCAAUUACCUGUGAUAUUUAUAUGCAAUCAGGUAUGUCUGAAAACCUUCAACUACAUGUUUAUUCUUCAGAUAAUGAGAAGAAACUCAGUGGCAACAUCAUGUUUCAGCCUGUACAGAACUAGUGUGUGAUUGCGUGUGCAUCUUUUACAGUGAACAGCAUUGUAUUUUCUAGCUGAUUGCAUUUAUAUUGUUAGAGAUGUCCCCUCAUAAGAGUGUGCACAUAAUUUCUCUGUUACUAAUAAUCAGUGCUUAUGGCUGUGAGAAGUUUGCACAUGUUGUUGUACAGUGUCUGGAGAGAGAAAAUAAAAUCACACGUCAUGCUGUUUUAGUUCACAAAAGCCUUGUAAAUGCUACUGUUCCCAUGAAAUGGGAUAUAAGCGCGAAUGAGAAGCAUUACCACAGCGACGGCACUUGUUCAUUCUGGUCUGUGAAAGCAAGUGACUAUGAUGUCUCCAUGUGAUUAUAUGGCAAUAUGAUCUCCAUACCAAGCUUACUGGCUUCCUCGGUAAUAUUUGCCGCACACCGCCACUGCCUGACAGGCUCUCAUUUUGUGCCAAACAUUUCGGCUUACAUUGCAAUAGUACUGAAUCAUUUGCCAUUUGUUAUAAUUAUAAAUUUGUCAUUUAUUGUAAAACAAAAACUUUAUUAACAAUGAAUGAAUCAGUUUUAAACAGGAUUUUUUGACUACAUCUUUUGAUACUGCAAACUACUAAAUGGAGUUCAAGAAUUUGCUUUAGGUGGACUGGUGGCUCCUGCAUGCAGGACAGCCAAUCCUAAUUAUUCAAUGACUGUCCUUGCAUAGGUUGCAAGUAUAAAGUAAAUAUAUUCCUCACAGUCUGGGGAAUAUCGUGUGUAGUAAUCAAGAGUCCUUUCACAUAAAAAUACUUUACAUGUCAACAGAUGAUUCAAAAUAUUGUUAGAUUAUCACCAAAGAGCCCAACUGCUUCCAUCAGUCUGUGGUCAGGUGCACUACAUGAUAUCAUUUUUAAACCAUGAGUGCAAAGACAAAAACAACACGGAUGAGGCAAGAGUCUACAUUUGAAGUCCUCCUUAUGACUCUCAGUGUGCUGUAAAUGUAACCAGAGAACGGAUAUACAAAUAAAUGUAAAUUAGAAAAGACUCUGGUCUUAUCCAAUUUACAAUAUCCUUGAAGUUGCUGCCGAGAGUCCAUCUUUCGUGUUCCUCCUCAGUUGAGUUGUCUGAUGAUGGAGUUAAUGUCCGUGCCACGGAAUCCAG
Long non-coding RNA from Thunnus maccoyii (southern bluefin tuna), 1662 nucleotides. RefSeq lists it as uncharacterized. The record is from RefSeq and is a predicted model, not a curated record. The transcript has 2 exons. NCBI's taxonomy places the organism in Eukaryota, Metazoa, Chordata, Actinopteri, Scombriformes, Scombridae.